RNAcentral lists this ribosomal RNA (415 nucleotides) under uncultured bacterium. RNAcentral's name for it is "bacterial SSU rRNA". It matches the Rfam family "Bacterial small subunit ribosomal RNA", at positions 29 to 429 of the family's 1533-position model. The record is from RNAcentral.
AACGAACGCUGGCGGCGUGCCUAACACAUGCAAGUCGAACGAGAAAGGGGCUUCGGCUCCGAGUAAAGUGGCGCACGGGUGAGUAACACGUAGGUAACCUGCCUCUAAGAUUGGGAUAACCUGUCGAAAGACGAGCUAAUACCGAAUAAGACCAUGGCUUCCUCGGAAGCAGGGGUCAAAGGUAGCCUCUACUUGUAAGCUAUCACUUAGAGAUGGGCCUGCGUACCAUUAGCAGUUGGUGGGGUAACGGCCUACCAAGGCAAAGAUGGUUAGCUGGUCUGAGAGGAUGAUCAGCCACACUGGAACUGAGACACGGUCCAGACUCCUACGGGAGGCAGCAGUGGGGAAUAUUGCGCAAUGGGCGAAAGCCUGACGCAGCAACGCCGCGUGAGUGAUGAAGGCCUUCGGUCGUAAG